CACGGUUUCGGUUUGUUUGUGGCGGUUUCUGUCGGAGCUAAUAUCUCCGGCGGCCAUGUUAACCCUGCGGUUACGUUUGGCGCGACAAUUGGUGGUAACCUAACUCUGGUCCGGGCGGUUCUGUACAUUAUUGCGCAGUUGCUUGGGUCUACUGUUGCUUGCAUUCUUCUUGCUUUCUCAACUGGCGGCUUGGUGAGUUUUUAUGCUUUUGAAAAUUAGUAAUUACAGUUACUUCUUCCUUUAAGCGUAUGGACUAUCUCAUAGACUACGAUAUUAAAAAAUUAUAUUAUAUUUAAUGAAUUAUUAUCCACUAAUUAUUUUUCUGCCCUCCUAUUUAAAUAUAUUUAAAAUUAUAGUCUACCAAAUUAUAGUUCCUUGAUAUAGUCUUUUUGGCUCACCGGAAAAUCUCAUAGACUAUAUUUAGUCUUAUUGUUGGAGUGAAAUCUGAGUCCUAGACUAUAUUUAGUUUAGAAUUUGUGUUUUUUCGGCCUGCUGGAGAUGCUAUUAGAUUAUAAAACUGGUAUUUUCUCUUUGUUUUUUAAAAAAACUUUGAUGUGGGUAAUUAUAAGAGAGUUUUUAUAUGAGGGUGUAAAAGAAAAAGCACAAUUUGUAUUUUGUGUGCAGAAAAUCAGAUUUUUUUAAUUUUUAAUCUUUGUUUUUUGUCUGAAUAUAUAGAUCCAUCUAAAGUUAAAUGGAAAGAGUAAUAAUUAGUAUAUGGGGGACAUAUAUGUCAAAAGUGAAUGUGUUAAAAUAACAAAACUUUUGUUAAUAUAAACUAUUAGCUAGCUAGAUGCAUGCAAACAUACAUAAAUUCAUAAAAAGAAUUCUAUUUAUAAAAUCUGUAAAUGUUAAAAUCUAUUUUUGUUUCAUAUUUAGUAUACAAAUAAUUAAUUAUUAAUUUUGUAGGGCAUAUACAUGCAUAAGUAAUGGAUUAUUUCGUCAUAAAAUUAAAAAAAUUGGGUAGAAAAUUUAAUUAGCUAGUGAUAUUUUAACAUGACCGUCACAACUAUAUUAUAGUUAUGGCAAAACACUAUUGUACAUACAUAUGAUCAGUAUUAUAUUUUAUGAUUGCUCAAAAAUUAUUAUCUUUUUUUAAAAGUUGGAUUUUUAAUUUUCUAGUAAUUAAUGAAGUAUCAUUGUAAUUCUAGUUAAAUUAAUUUAAAAAUCGUUAUUUUUUUUAUAAUUUUUGUUUCAGCCUAAUUAAUUUUUGGUAUAGACGACAGCUUCUAAGUUAGUUGUGACCACCUGCUAAAUUAAAUAUGCAGACAACAACGGCAUUUGCUCUGUCCUCCGGAGUGUCGGUGUGGAGCGCCUUGGCAUUCGAGGUGGUGAUGACCUUCGGGCUGGUUUACACGGUGUACGCCACCGCCCUGGACCCAAAGAAGGGUGAAGUUGGAAUAAUUGCACCCAUUGCAAUUGGUUUAUUAGUAGGAGCCAAUAUUCUAGCCGGUGGUGCCUUCACCGGAGCAUCAAUG
Molecule: long non-coding RNA, 1475 nt
Filed under: Panax ginseng (ginseng)
Lineage: Eukaryota; Viridiplantae; Streptophyta; Magnoliopsida; Apiales; Araliaceae
Description: long non-coding RNA (PGIN_LNC016580)
Source: RNAcentral